CGCUUCAAGUGCCUCUGCACAUGCAGGGGAGAAUAGACAACCGGGUGAAAAUCCCGGACGGUACCGCCGCUGUAAGCGCGGAGAUCGGGCUCUUUGGCAUUAUGCCGGUCACUGGGAAACUGGGAAGGCUGAGCUCGGUUGCAGACGGGUUUCCCGUCCUAUGCGCAAGUCAGAAGACCUGCUUGGAGA
This 189-nucleotide non-coding RNA is filed under the name bovine gut metagenome. The record is from RNAcentral.